UACGAAGGGGGCUAGCGUUGCUCGGAAUCACUGGGCGUAAAGCGCACGUAGGCGGACUCUUAAGUCGGUGGUGAAAUCCUGGAGCUCAACUCCAGAACUGCCUUUGAUACUGAGGGGCUCGAGUCCGGGAGAGGUGAGUGGAACUGCGAGUGUAGAGGUGAAAUUCGUAGAUAUUCGCAAGAACACCAGUGGCGAAGGCGGCUCACUGGCCCGGUACUGACGCUGAGGUGCGAAAGCGUGGGGAGCAAACAGG
This 253-nucleotide ribosomal RNA is filed under the name uncultured bacterium. RNAcentral's name for it is "partial 16S ribosomal RNA". It matches the Rfam family "Bacterial small subunit ribosomal RNA", at positions 524 to 776 of the family's 1533-position model. The record is from RNAcentral.